This is a long non-coding RNA of Asparagus officinalis (garden asparagus), 1648 nucleotides long. RefSeq lists it as uncharacterized. The transcript has 4 exons. The record is from RefSeq and is a predicted model, not a curated record. Lineage: Eukaryota; Viridiplantae; Streptophyta; Magnoliopsida; Asparagales; Asparagaceae.
CGCCGUAAAUUCUUCAUCCGAACUCGGAUUUGAGUGAUUCCAAGUGCGUUGGAAGCUUGACGAAGAGUUCUAUCUGUUCUGAUGGUUGGAUGUAGAGUGAACGAGAUAUGAAGGGCGUUGUUCUUCUUGUGAACAUCGCAGGGUUCCCGAUUUGCCCGUGCCUUCGUUAUUCCGUAGUUCGUCGAUUUACUUCAAUCGUUCAUCGACGUCAAUCGAACUCCUGUGGAUCGGAUAGUGACGUUCAUCGUCGCUCUUUAACACUGAACUGUUCGUGGAGACCUAUAGGCAAUUUUCGAUGCCUACAUAUAUAAAGCAAAGAGUGGUCAUGUACAAAAGGGAUUGCCUCUUCCAUAUGAGAAAAGAAGACUGCAUCGUGCAGACCGAGAACACCAAUAUAUCGGAUUUCAGGUUAUGAGAAAUUUCAAAUGGGGACCAACAAACUAUGCUAUCACAUGUUAAUAAUCACCCUGUCGCUGCUGUGAUAAAAGUCACCUAAAUUUAAGAAGCUCAAGGUCGGAAAAGUUUACAGGUCUCCUGGCAAUAGUACUGGAGGGGGGUUGCACGUUAUUGUUGUCGUUGGGUAUAGUGUAAAAGACAGGGUCAAUUAUUGGAAAAAUAAUGAACAGUUGGAGCACGCAAUGGGGAGACAAUAUUCUGAGAUUCCAGUUUAUCUUUCAACAGAAAAUCACUUCUAGCUAGAGUUUCAUAUCCGAUUCUUAGUAAAGAAUAUAUGGAGAAGAGAAGUCUCAUAGUUGUCUUUCAUGUUACCUACAAGUGUAAUAUUAUUUUAAUGUUUACAACUUGUUUACGUUAAAGUCAAUUUGGAAACAACUACAUUAGAUUUUGUUUUGAGUUGAGAAAAUUCAGCGUAAGUGCUAGCACUACAAAAUAAUUGAUCUACUGCAACGGUUAAGGCGCAACGGUUUUAACUGUUGCGUUAGAUAUCUAUCGUAACGAUUUUUAGGAUGUAAUACAACAUUUAAUAUAAAAUGUUGCCAUAUCUCUAAUAAUUGUUUCUGGGCUUAAUAAUUGUUACUGACCUUUGAGCUUGAGUAAAGCCCACUGUUUGACCGACCGCUUAAACCACACCAACUUAAAAAGGAAAUCUCUCACUCUCUCUCUCUCCCAAAUCCCUAAAAUCGCCGCUGCCAUGGCCAAAACUCCCUAAAAUCGCCGUGGCCAAAACUCCCUCGUCGCCGUUUUCAGUCCUCGCCGGAGUCCGUUUACUUUCGUCGCCGUUUUCAUCUCGUUGGUUUCAUCGUCGAGCUACUCUCGUUGCUCCAGAAAUCGAGCCCAAUCUCGCUAACCGGAGCUUUCUAGGGCGUAUGUUAGAACAGAGGCAUGUGCAAGAGACUGAGUAGGUCAAGGGGUGACAUGAUGAUUAAUGUCAAAUGCAGUUUUACUAGUUAUGAAGAGUCGGAGGAUAAAAGAUUCAUCAACAUAUCAUGCAACUUGAUGUUUCUCUCUCAUGUAAUAAGUUUAUAUCCUCACACAUAUCGUCGUAUGGAGUAGGAAAAGAGAGCUGAACGUUCUCUAAAUUGAAAAUGCAUAUUUGUAAAUGUUUUCCUUUAAUAUUAUUUCUUGUAUUUCUAACUUCUAUUUGGCUUCGUAUAUGCGGUAUUUCCUUAUGAUUCAAUUUUUGGCAUCA